GACGAACGCUGGCGGCGUGCUUAACACAUGCAAGUCGAACGGAAAGGCCCCUUUGGGGGUACUCGAGUGGCGAACGGGUGAGUAACACGUGAGUAACCUUCCCUUGACUUCGGGAUAACUUCAGGAAACUGGGGCUAAUACCGGAUAGGAAUCCUUGCUGCAUGGUGGGGGUUGGAAAGCUUCGGCGGUUUUGGAUGGACUCGCGGCUUAUCAGCUUGUUGGUGGGGUAGUGGCUUACCAAGGCUUUGACGGGUAGCCGGCCUGAGAGGGCGACCGGCCACAUUGGGACUGAGAUACGGCCCAGACUCCGACGGGAGGCAGCAGUGGGGAAUAUUGCACAAUGGGCGGAAGCCUGAUGCAGCAACGCCGCGUGCGGGAUGACGGCCUUCGGGUUGUAAACCGCUUUCAGCAGGGGCGAAGCUUGUGGUGACGGUACCUGCAGAAGAAGCACCGGCUAACUACGUG
Molecule: ribosomal RNA, 465 nt
Filed under: uncultured bacterium
Lineage: Bacteria
Description: partial 16S ribosomal RNA
Rfam family: Bacterial small subunit ribosomal RNA
Source: RNAcentral